Passer domesticus (house sparrow) is the source of this 364-nucleotide long non-coding RNA. RefSeq lists it as uncharacterized. The transcript is spliced from 3 exons. Lineage: Eukaryota; Metazoa; Chordata; Aves; Passeriformes; Passeridae. The record is from RefSeq and is a predicted model, not a curated record.
UUCCAUAUUCUUCAGCUGGUGAUUGACAUAGAGGGCUACACACUCUUCUCAUGUCCCUACCUGUCUUUCCUAAAACUUAUUCGUUGCAGUGCUCCAGUCAUUGGAGCCAUGCUACCUUUUCUCCAUGAUCCCAGUGAUAUCAUAUCCACCCAGGGAAGCUGCAGGAAGGACGCUCACGUUGUACUCCCCAGAAUAGCAGCUGGUUUACAGAAUCCCAAGAUCACAGAAUGGAUGAUUUGAGGAAAAACAGAAUGCAGGAGGCAGGUGGGAAGAAAUCAAGAGCAGGAGAGCUGAAGUUGGCAUGAGCUGAUUCCUCACAUUUCUCAGCUCACAUGGAGGUAGCAGAGAACAUGCUGUGAGGAGA